GACGAACGCUGGCGGCGUGCUUAACACAUGCAAGUCGAGCGGAGCGGCGAACGGGUGAGUAACGCGUGAGUAACUGCCCCCCUCUCUGGAAUAACAAAUGGAAACGGCUGCUAAUAACGGAUAGUGGGGGCUGAUUCGCGUCCUAUCAGCUUGUUGGUGGGGUAGUGGCCUCCCAAGGCGACGACGGGUAGACGGCCUGAGAGGGCGACCGGCCACAUUGGGCUAAGAGACGGCCCGAACACCUACGGGAGGCAGGAGUGGGUAAUAAAGCAUAAUGGGGGAAAGCCUGAUGCAGGAACGCCGGGUGCGGGAUGGCGGCCGUCUUUUUGUAAACAGACUUCAGUCAUGACGCGGUAGUUGCAGAAGAAGCACCGGCUAACUACGUGCCAGCAGCCGCGGUAAUAC
Molecule: ribosomal RNA, 405 nt
Filed under: uncultured bacterium
Lineage: Bacteria
Description: partial 16S ribosomal RNA
Rfam family: Bacterial small subunit ribosomal RNA
Source: RNAcentral